This 1015-nucleotide ribosomal RNA is filed under the name uncultured Ascomycota. RNAcentral describes it as "eukaryotic LSU rRNA". It matches the Rfam family "Eukaryotic large subunit ribosomal RNA", at positions 1 to 1031 of the family's 3401-position model. The record is from RNAcentral. Lineage: Eukaryota; Fungi; Ascomycota.
CGUUUGACCUCGGAUCAGGUAGGGAUACCCGCUGAACUUAAGCAUAUCAAUAAGCGGAGGAAAAGAAACCAACAGGGAUUGCCCUAGUAACGGCGAGUGAAGCGGCAACAGCUCAAAUUUGAAAUCUGGCUCUUUCAGAGUCCGAGUUGUAAUUUGCAGAGGGCGCUUUGGCUUUGGCAGCGGUCCAAGUUCCUUGGAACAGGACGUCACAGAGGGUGAGAAUCCCGUACGUGGUCGCUAGCUAUUGCCGUGUAAAGCCCCUUCGACGAGUCGAGUUGUUUGGGAAUGCAGCUCUAAAUGGGAGGUAAAUUUCUUCUAAAGCUAAAUAUUGGCCAGAGACCGAUAGCGCACAAGUAGAGUGAUCGAAAGAUGAAAAGCACUUUGGAAAGAGAGUCAAACAGCACGUGAAAUUGUUGAAAGGGAAGCGCUUGCAGCCAGACUUGCUUGCAGUUGCUCAUCCGGGCUUUUGCCCGGUGCACUCUUCUGCAGGCAGGCCAGCAUCAGUUUGGGCGGUGGGAUAAAGGUCUCUGUCACGUACCUUCCUUCGGGUUGGCCUUAUAGGGGAGACGCCAUACCACCAGCCUGGACUGAGGUCCGCGCAUCUGCUAGGAUGCUGGCGUAAUGGCUGUAAGCGGCCCGUCUUGAAACACGGACCAAGGAGUCUAACAUCUAUGCGAGUGUUUGGGUGUCAAGCCCGAGCGCGUAAUGAAAGUGAACGGAGGUGGGAACCCGCAAGGGUGCACCAUCGACCGAUCCUGAAGUUUACGGAAGGAUUUGAGUAAGAGCAUGGCUGUUGGGACCCGAAAGAUGGUGAACUAUGCUUGAAUAGGGUGAAGCCAGAGGAAACUCUGGUGGAGGCUCGCAGCGGUUCUGACGUGCAAAUCGAUCGUCAAAUUUGGGCAUAGGGGCGAAAGACUAAUCGAACUAUCUAGUAGCUGGUUCCUGCCGAAGUUUCCCUCAGGAUAGCAGUAACGUAUUCAGUUUUUAUGAGGUAAAGCGAAUGAUUAAAGGCAUG